UACAGGAGGCCCGAGCGUUAGUCGGAAUCACUGGGCUUAAAGGGUGCGUAGGCGGGCCUGUAAGUAUCUCGUGAAAUCCCCCGGCUCAACCGGGGAAUGGCGGGGUAAACUACAGGUCUUGAGGUCGGUAGGGGUCGCUGGAACGCUCGGUGGAGCGGUGAAAUGCGUAGAGAUCGAGCGGAACGCCGAAGGUGAAGACAAGCGACUGGGCCGAAUCUGACGCUGAGGCACGAAAGCGUGGGGAGCAAACAGG
RNAcentral lists this ribosomal RNA (253 nucleotides) under uncultured bacterium. RNAcentral describes it as "partial 16S ribosomal RNA". It matches the Rfam family "Bacterial small subunit ribosomal RNA", at positions 524 to 776 of the family's 1533-position model. The record is from RNAcentral.